GACAGCUACCUAAAACCAUUGCUUCACACCGAGCCGACCUACUUCCCAAAACUUUUUCAAUUUCAGUUUACUGAAUAAUUUUUUCUUGCUGAAACUAGAAGAAGGGAGCAAGCGGCAGAAGAUUAUGAUGUUGCUGCUAUUGGGAGACGCAGUAAAAUAUGGACAAGUUCCUGUAUUUUAUGGAAGGUGUAGUAUUGAAGCUUCUUGCACUGAUCUAGAAUGGAUCUUGACUUCGCCCAAGAGUGAGCGCAUGUUACAUAAGAAAUCAUUAUCUCUGAAGCAUACUCACAUUGGACCAAGAACUAGGCGAGGUUCAGACUUCAGAGAAAUGAUAACAAGUCUCCUUUUCAUUCGAGCGGGGCGAUGAGGGAAAGAACUGGUUGUGGUGAAAGUCAGUUUAGUGCAUCAAGG
Molecule: non-coding RNA, 411 nt
Organism: Triticum urartu
Lineage: Eukaryota; Viridiplantae; Streptophyta; Magnoliopsida; Poales; Poaceae
Source: RefSeq, a predicted model, not a curated record